Small nucleolar RNA from Polyodon spathula (Mississippi paddlefish), 78 nucleotides. RefSeq annotates it as small nucleolar RNA SNORD72. Lineage: Eukaryota; Metazoa; Chordata; Actinopteri; Acipenseriformes; Polyodontidae. The record is from RefSeq and is a predicted model, not a curated record. The transcript has a single exon.
AGCUUAUCGGUGAUGUCUCAAAAUAAAUGUCUGAACAAAUGAUAUCUCAGUGAUUUCAGUGUUUUACUGAGAUAAGCU